UGUGGUCAUUUGGAACUUGAUUCU
Molecule: non-coding RNA, 24 nt
Filed under: Rattus norvegicus (Norway rat)
Lineage: Eukaryota; Metazoa; Chordata; Mammalia; Rodentia; Muridae
Source: RNAcentral